GAUGAACGCUGGCGGCGUGCCUAAUACAUGCAAGUCGAGCGAACAGACGAGGAGCUUGCUCCUCUGACGUUAGCGGCGGACGGGUGAGUAACACGUGGAUAACCUACCUAUAAGACUGGGAUAACUUCGGGAAACCGGAGCUAAUACCGGAUAAUAUAUUGAACCGCAUGGUUCAAUAGUGAAAGACGGUUUUGCUGUCACUUAUAGAUGGAUCCGCGCCGCAUUAGCUAGUUGGUAAGGUAACGGCUUACCAAGGCGACGAUGCGUAGCCGACCUGAGAGGGUGAUCGGCCACACUGGAACUGAGACCCGGUCCAGACUCCUACGGGAGGCAGCAGUAGGGAAUCUUCCGCAAUGGGCGAAAGCUUGACGGAGCAACGCCGCGUGAGUGAUGAAGGUCUUCGGAUCGUAAAACUCUGUUAUUAGGGAAGAACAAAUGUGUAAGUAACUAUGCACGUCUUGACGGUACCUAAUCAGAAAGCCACGGCUAACUACGUG
Molecule: ribosomal RNA, 497 nt
Filed under: uncultured bacterium
Lineage: Bacteria
Description: partial 16S ribosomal RNA
Rfam family: Bacterial small subunit ribosomal RNA
Source: RNAcentral